GUCGAGAAUCUUCCGCAAUGGGCGCAAGCCUGACGGAGCGACGCCGCGUGGAGGACGAAGGCCUUCGGGUUGUAAACUCCUGUCACGGGUUAUGAAUGGCGCAGUAUGAACAAUGCUGCGAUUGACGUAAGCCCGAGAGGAAGCACUGGCUAACUCUGUGCCAGCAGCCGCGGUAAUACAGAGAGUGCAAACGUUGUUCGGAAUUACUGGGCAUAAAGCGCACGUAGGCGGCGCCACAAGUGCGGAGUGAAAUCCCACGGCUUACCCGUGGAACUGCUUGGUAGACUGUGGUGCUAGAGGAUGGUAGGGGAGAGCGGAACUCCUGGUGGAGCGGUGAAAUGCGUAGAGAUCAGGAGGAACACCGGUGGCGAAGGCGGCUCUCUGGUCCAUGACUGACGCUGAGGUGCGAAAGCUAGGGGAGCAAACGGGAUUAGAUACCCUUGUAGUCC
Molecule: ribosomal RNA, 449 nt
Filed under: uncultured bacterium
Lineage: Bacteria
Description: bacterial SSU rRNA
Rfam family: Bacterial small subunit ribosomal RNA
Source: RNAcentral